This is a long non-coding RNA of Sebastes umbrosus (honeycomb rockfish), 1267 nucleotides long. RefSeq lists it as uncharacterized. Lineage: Eukaryota; Metazoa; Chordata; Actinopteri; Perciformes; Sebastidae. The transcript has 2 exons. The record is from RefSeq and is a predicted model, not a curated record.
CUGUAGAACUGUAAUGUAACGCAUUCUAAACUUGAAUACUGUAGAAUUGUAACAUAACGCAUUCUUAAGUUGAACAUUGUAGAAUUGUAACGUAACGCAUUCUAAACUUGAACAUUCUAGAAUUGUAACAUAACGCAUUCUAAAGUUGAACAUAGUAGAAUUGUAACGUAACGCAUUCUAAAGUUGAACAUCGUAGAACUGUAACGUAACGCAUUCUAAAGUUGAACAUAGUAGAACUGUAACGUAACGCAUUCUAAAGUUGAACAUUGUAGAACUGUAAUGUAACGCAUUCUAAACUUGAAUACUGUAGAAUUGUAACAUAACGCAUUCUUAAGUUGAACAUUGUAGAACUGUAAUGUAACGCAUUCUAAACUUGAACAUUGUAGAAUUGUAACGUAACACAUUCUAAAGUUGAACGUUGGAGAACUGUAACGUAACACAUUCUAAAGUUGAACAUUGUAGAACUGUAACGUAACACAUUCUUAAGUUGAACAUUGUAGAAGUGUAACUUAACCCAUUCCAAAGUUAAACAUUUUAGAAUUGUAACGCAUUCUAAAGUUGAACAUAGUAGAAGUGUAACUUAAUGCAUUCUAAAGUUGAACAUUGUAGAAGUGUAACUUAACGCAUUCUAAAGUUGAACGUAUCCUGAACUGUAACGUAAAACAUUCUUAACUUCAGGUGCAUUCAUCAACAGUCCAGGUGUAUCUGAAAGGCUCCGGGAGGCGUCGUUGAUUGACAGGCCUGUGCUGUGUCUCUGCUGAAGAAUAAUACCCCUCCCACCUCUCCCGUUGCCAGGGUGACAGAUGGGUUUUCUCUGCCGAAACACUCCGUCUCCAUUUCUGUCACCUCAGAUUGGUGUGCGAGCGGCAGAGAAGAGGGGUGGCUAAGACUCAGUCAAUCCUACACCUCCCUUGACAAAUGACAGUGAUACAGACAAACAGUGCACAGUGAGCGUUCCUUUACGUUUCUACCUGCGACCGUGUCUUGUAGUCUAUCACUUGUAGUCUCUGCCCAACACCAAUCUUGCACAAUAUUCUCUUGAUGGAGCGACAUAAAAAGCAGGCCAGUGCCUGUGAGGGCCUGUCCGUGAUUCACAAUCAUAAUAUAGCUCCACUCCACACACCGUACAGGCCGCUUUAGCACAGCGUUGUGGCUGCCUGCACUAUCAAAAGGUAGGAGUCUUUGAUUCAAAACCAACUAGAACGGGUCAAAAAACAGCCUGGAGGCAGCUACUUCUCCAGAUAAAGUGACUCUCUAUUCUUUCUUU